RNAcentral lists this ribosomal RNA (253 nucleotides) under uncultured bacterium. RNAcentral's name for it is "partial 16S ribosomal RNA". It matches the Rfam family "Bacterial small subunit ribosomal RNA", at positions 524 to 776 of the family's 1533-position model. The record is from RNAcentral.
UACGAAGGGGGCUAGCGUUGUUCGGAAUUACUGGGCGUAAAGCGCACGUAGGCGGAUUGUUAAGUCGGGGGUGAAAUCCCGGGGCUCAACCUCGGAACUGCCUUUGAUACAGCACGUCUCGAGUCCGGAAGAGGUGGGUGGAAUUCCUAGUGUAGAGGUGAAAUGCGUAGAUAUCAGGAGGAACACCGGUGGCGAAGGCGCCUAUCUGGCCCGAUACUGACGCUGAGGCGCGAAAGCUAGGGGAGCAAACGGG